AUUGAACGCUGGCGGCAGGCCUAACACAUGCAAGUCGAGCGGAGCGGCGGACGGGUGAGUAAUGCCUAGGAAUCUGCCUGGUAGUGGGGGAUAACGUCCGGAAACGGGCGCUAAUACCGCAUACUAUCAGAUGAGCCUAGGUCGUAUUAGCUAGGUGGUGGGGUAAAGGCCUAACAAGGCGACGAUCCGGAGCUGGUCUGAGAGGAUGAUCAGUCACACUGGAACUGACACACGGUCCAGACGCCUAAGUGAGGCAGAGGUGGGGAAUAUUGGACAAUGGGCGAUAGCCUGAUCCAGCCAGGCCGCGGGUGUGAAGAAGGUCUUCGGAUUGUAAAGCACUUCAAGUUGGGAGGCGUUACCAACAGAAUAAGCACCUGCUAACUUCGUGCCAGCAGCCGCGGUAAUUC
RNAcentral lists this ribosomal RNA (407 nucleotides) under uncultured bacterium. RNAcentral's name for it is "partial 16S ribosomal RNA". It matches the Rfam family "Bacterial small subunit ribosomal RNA", at positions 30 to 526 of the family's 1533-position model. The record is from RNAcentral.